This 191-nucleotide small nuclear RNA is filed under the name Echeneis naucrates (live sharksucker). RNAcentral's name for it is "U2 spliceosomal RNA (ENSENLG00000000660.1)". It matches the Rfam family "U2 spliceosomal RNA". Rfam says of the family: U2 is a small nuclear RNA (snRNA) component of the spliceosome (involved in pre-mRNA splicing). Lineage: Eukaryota; Metazoa; Chordata; Actinopteri; Carangiformes; Echeneidae. The record is from Rfam by way of RNAcentral.
AUCGCUUCUCGGCCUUUUGGCUAAGAUCAAGUGUAGUAUCUGUUCUUAUCAGUUUAAUAUCUGAUACGUCCCCUACCCGGGGACCAUAUAUUAAAUAGAUUUUUGGAACAGGGAGAUGGAAUAAGGGCUUGCUCCGUCCACUCCACGCAUCGACCUGGUGUUGCAGUAUCUCCAGGAACGGUGCACUCCCU